AAUAUUGCACAAUGGGGGCAACCCUGAUGCAGCCAUGCCGCGUGUGUGAAGAAGGCCUUCGGGUUGUAAAGCACUUUCAGUUGUGAGGAAAGGUUAGUAGUUAAUACCUGCUAGCUGUGACGUUAACAACAGAAGAAGCACCGGCUAACUCCGUGCCAGCAGCCGCGGUAAUACGGAGGGUGCGAGCGUUAAUCGGAAUUACUGGGCGUAAAGCGCACGCAGGCGGUCUGUUAAGCUAGAUGUGAAAGCCCCGCGCUCAACGUGGGAGGGUCAUUUAGAACUGGCAGACUAGAGUCUUGGAGAGGGGAGUGGAAUUCCAGGUGUAGCGGUGAAAUGCGUAGAGAUCUGGAGGAACAUCAAUGGCGAAGGCAACUCCCUGGCCAAAGACUGACGCUCAUGUGCGAAAGUGUGGGUAGCGAACAGGAUUAGAUACCCUGGUAGUCCACACCGUAAACGCUGUCUACUAGCUGUUUGUGGAUUUAAUUCGUGAGUAGCGAAGCUAACGCGAUAAGUAGACCCGCUGGGGAGUACCGGCCGCAAGGGUAAAACUCAAA
RNAcentral lists this ribosomal RNA (554 nucleotides) under uncultured Bay of Fundy bacterium BA10-4A. RNAcentral's name for it is "bacterial SSU rRNA". It matches the Rfam family "Bacterial small subunit ribosomal RNA", at positions 360 to 905 of the family's 1533-position model. Lineage: Bacteria; Pseudomonadati; Pseudomonadota; Gammaproteobacteria; Alteromonadales; Alteromonadaceae. The record is from RNAcentral.